AAUGCAUUUCAGUAAACUCUAAACAUUUCAAUAGUCUAUAAAUCUUUCAAUAGGCUGUAAAUCUUUCAAUAGGCUAUAAAUCUUUCAAUAGUCUACAAAACUUUAAAUAGGGAGUUCCAAUAGUUAUAAUAACAACGAUAAUUGAUGUCUAUAUGUUGACAAUCCCCUGAUCAACCUGGGCGUCUCUCCCGAAGGAUAUUGAUGAUAGUAACUAUCGCCUGGUCACGAGGCCGCCUCACCCAUUACUAUGGGAUUUUGACGAUAGUGCUACCACAGUAAGGUGUCUCAUUAGACAAUAUAUGGUACACAAUGAAACGUGUGUUCUGUAGCGAUAAUAAUUAUGGUCCUCCCAAAUAAUAUUUUCUUUAAAUUGUAUGACCCAUAGGUCCUAUAAAUAUUUUCGAUAAUUGGCUCCCAAGGCCCAUAGUUCAAUUAUAUAUGUUGAUAAGGUUCCUUUGACUUCGAUAAAAUGAUAACCUUUUUCAAAAUAUCUCGAUAAAUUAUAAAAUCACAAGAUAAUGAGUUUCAAUAUUUGCGAUAAUCACCUGAUCCAAGUCAAGUAGAAAAAUAUGAUUUAAAGUGUCAUCAUUCAAUAAAAGACAAUAAAUGACCAACAAUACAAUUUAUGCAUGUACGAUACUAUAAGAUAGCAUAGAGUAUAUCAUAAUGUUAAAAACAUGGACGGUAAGGUUCGAUCGCUCCAACAAACCAAACUAACAUUUAAAGAAACUUCAGCAAGUAUUAGAAUUCAUGGAAUUCAUCAAAUAAUCCUUAGGAGAAGGCACAUCUUAACUUACCUCAUCUUAGCUUUCCAAAUUACUCUAAACUUACCCAACAAACUCAACUCGUUCAACGAUAUCAAUCUAUAUCAAUCUAUAACAUUUUCGGGCUCAUAAUCGGCAUCAAGCCAUCUAAUAUCCUUAUUUUCGAUUACUCCGACAAUUUAAUUAACUCCAAAAUAUCAUUUUAAAGCGAGUAUCAACUUUAAGAGAUUAUUAGAAUCAUUAUUUAACUCAAUCCUUAUCGCUAGUUACUAUUCAUAUUCCCCUUCCUUAGCUCUUUAAUGUCAAGAACACCCAUUUUGGGGUUAUUUUAAUAUCAAGUUUCCAUCACCUUUUUCAUACUCAAAUAUACUCAAUAACAUCAUUUGAACUUCAUAAUUGAAGAGGGAGCGGUAGAAUUACCUUGUAGUAGAAAAAUCUAGCUUUUCCCCUUUUUCAUGUUCUUGAAUAAUUUCUUUACAAAUCUAGAAUUUCAAUGAGUUGGGUGUUAAUACUUAUAUUAAAUGAAUGAAAUCUACUCAAAAUAACCAUUUAGUACUCACCUAGAACUUCAAUAAAUGUGCCGCUAUUGCAUACCAGAUGAGCUGAUACGCUGCUCUUUCUUCUCUAAACAAGAAUGGCCCAAAGAAGAAUCUUGACUCCACUUUACAAAAUUGAAUGGUCUGCGUCCGUCGUCCAGUGGGUAUAGUUUUGAGCUUAAGAGCUCACUUGCAGUGCUCUAUUCCACCAUCCUUUUGGAUCUGAUUUCCCUUUUCAGAUUAUGUGUUACAUGUUAUUAUCUUGAUAGCUAAGUGAGGCUUAGUGUUCAC
This 1591-nucleotide long non-coding RNA is filed under the name Nicotiana tabacum (common tobacco). Its description in RNAcentral is "long non-coding RNA (NTAB_LNC008809)". Lineage: Eukaryota; Viridiplantae; Streptophyta; Magnoliopsida; Solanales; Solanaceae. The record is from RNAcentral.